RNAcentral lists this ribosomal RNA (253 nucleotides) under uncultured bacterium. Its description in RNAcentral is "partial 16S ribosomal RNA". It matches the Rfam family "Bacterial small subunit ribosomal RNA", at positions 524 to 776 of the family's 1533-position model. The record is from RNAcentral.
UACGUAGGUGACAAGCGUUGUCCGGAUUUACUGGGCGUAAAGAGCGCGCAGGCGGUCGUUCAAGUCGAGUGUGAAAGCCCCCGGCUCAACUGAGGAGGGUCAUUCGAUACUGAUCGACUCGAAGGCAGGAGAGGGAAGUGGAAUUCCCGGUGUAGUGGUGAAAUGCGUAGAUAUCGGGAGGAACACCAGUGGCGAAGGCGACUUCCUGGCCUGUUCUUGACGCUGAGGCGCGAAAGCUAGGGGAGCAAACGGG